Molecule: ribosomal RNA, 442 nt
Filed under: uncultured bacterium
Lineage: Bacteria
Description: partial 16S ribosomal RNA
Rfam family: Bacterial small subunit ribosomal RNA
Source: RNAcentral
CCUACGGGAGGCAGCAGUGGGGAAUAUUGGGCAAUGGGCGCAAGCCUGACCCAGCAACGCCGCGUGAAGGAAGAAGGCUUUCGGGUUGUAAACUUCUUUUAAGGGGGACGAACAAAUGACGGUACCCCUUGAAUAAGCCACGGCUAACUACGUGCCAGAAGCCGCGGUAAUACGUAGGUGGCAAGCGUUGUCCGGAUUUACUGGGUGUAAAGGGCGUGCAGCCGGAGAGACAAGUCAGAUGUGAAAUCCACGGGCUCAACCCGUGAACUGCAUUUGAAACUGUUUCCCUUGAGUGUCGGAGAGGUAAGCGGAAUUCCUGGUGUAGGGGUGAAAUGCGUAGAUAUAAGGAAGAACACCAGUGGCGAAGGCGGAUUACUGGACGAUAACUGACGGUGAGGCGCGAAAGCGUGGGGAGCAAACAGGAUUAGAUACCCCAGUAGUC